GCUACAAAGCUGGCCUUGUUGCUUAGACAUGUGCAGAAUAGAAAUAUUGUAAAGCUUUAGAGAACAGAUGGCCAGAGAUUUCAGAAAUUAUAAACAUCGGCUUUCUGCUUUGGACUGGUCAGCAUUAGGCCUAGAGGUCAUAUUCAAGCUGCUCUGAGUUUUCCUGCAACAUUUGGACUUAGCAUGACUCUUCAGUCUCAUAGGGCUUCCUGUAAGGAUCUAUCCUUGGUCGUUCAGCGAUCCAACGGCGUGCCAUGACUAUCUAGUUACAGGAAAGCGUUGCUGCAGAGGACUCUAGCACAUCACUAGCAAAGGAAUAAGACAGCUGUACCGAGAUGAAUUUUGCUUACUUUGGAUCUUUGUUUCAUUCUGGGUUGCAGGGAUGAGGCUUGGUUAUCUUGACAGUUGGCAUCGCUGUGUCAAUGACAGAUCACACUUGAUUAUGACCUUCUGAUUACUCGCACUUUUUUUUUCCUGACUGAUAUUUGGAGAUCAAGAAACACUGAAUGAAUCCAAAAUGAUUUUUUGGGUGCAGACAGACUUAAAAUAUGACAGGGAAGAUCAUCAAUAGUGGAGGAUGUUUCGAAGGAAGCAAAUUCUUCAGAACUAUUUUCUCUUCUUUUACUUCUCCCCGAACACAGCAGAGCUUCAGCAUUAGCCAACUGCUGUAACAUUUGAGACUGUCAGACUUUGGGAUGUAUCAAGAAACAUGAAUUAUACUGCUGUCUUCACACAGCUUAUGGGAAGCAAGGAAUGUCUACGUGAACUACUAUGUAUUUCAUCCUGUCAGCAGGCCGACAAGGUUCCAAAAAUGUGGGACUAGUUGGGGAAAAGUUGAGCAAAGACAAGAAACUGCAUGGCUGAGAGCUUUGGAAGUGAAGGGAUCACUCAGGGUUCAUUCUGAAAGGAUUUGAGUAAUUUCUGAAGUCUCCCAAAGAAAAAAAGAUAAGUAUCUUGUGAGAAAUAGAAAAGAAUUUUGGAGUGAAGCUUCAUGUAGAAGUUUUCCUGGGCUGUGCAAGGAGAAGGCUGUGUUCUUGUGACACUCACCAUAUUCUGACUAUUUUUCACUUCCUGAUAUUUAAUAGAGCUGGUUCUGAGGAAAGCGAUGGAUCUGCCAUCUAGCUUGUGAUUGAAUCUUCUUGAGCUUUUCAUGACAUUGUUUCUUCAGAUGCGCAACACCUGCCCCUGCUGCGCAAAGGGUAAAGAAGUAUUUGGUGACCCAGGGCAAGGGACAGGGCAGCCUCAGUCUCAGGGUGUUUUACUGACAGAUUAGAGAAUGGGACAAAGACCUAGUGAAAAUAAGAAGAGAAAUGUGGGUCAAAAGAAAACAGGAGAAACUGCAGUGAAUUUAUGAAGAGCUGAAGAUCCAGCAUGCACUGUGAAGCUUUUUGCUUAGCAGUCAGUGGAGAUAAACUUUACAUUUCAAAGACAGCAGGAUGAGAGGCCAGAUUAACAGUGGAGGAAGUGAAAUAAAAUUUUUUUGAGCCUUCAAUAAUGCAGGAUCAGAAGAGUUUGCCGUGAUAGCAUAUUUAACAUACUUUAGAAGCCAAUUGCAGGAUACUUUGUGGCACUACCGAGAUCAGAGAAGACUUCAGGAACCCUAGAGGAGAGCAGAAAUAGAAAAAACUUCAAGAAAUCUCAAAAUCCUUGUAGGUGACUGAGAGAAGGAAUUAAAUAUGAAAUGUAAACCACUGGUGUGAAUAUGUAGAUUUUAGUUUUGUGGCAAAUUGGACAUUCUGAUUUUGCAUUUUUUAGCCAAAAAAAGUUAUUGAGCUCUGUGAAAACACAAUUAGAUAAAAUGUUGUGAAGAUUAAUUAUAAAUUUAGCACUGGGAGAAACAAUAAACAUCUUUUACGAAAAGAAAUAAGUAGCUAAGUGAAAUCUGUGUUUUCCUGGA
Harpia harpyja (harpy eagle) is the source of this 1897-nucleotide long non-coding RNA. RefSeq lists it as uncharacterized. The transcript has 4 exons. NCBI's taxonomy places the organism in Eukaryota, Metazoa, Chordata, Aves, Accipitriformes, Accipitridae. The record is from RefSeq and is a predicted model, not a curated record.